This 433-nucleotide ribosomal RNA is filed under the name uncultured bacterium. RNAcentral's name for it is "bacterial SSU rRNA". It matches the Rfam family "Bacterial small subunit ribosomal RNA", at positions 29 to 507 of the family's 1533-position model. The record is from RNAcentral.
AACGAACGCUGGCGGCAUGCCUAACACAUGCAAGUCGAACGAGACCUUCGGGUCUAGUGGCGCACGGGUGCGUAACGCGUGGGAACCUGCCUUUAGGUUCGGAAUAACAGUGAGAAAUUACUGCUAAUACCGGAUGAUGUCUUCGGACCAAAGAUUUAUCGCCUUUAGAUGGGCCCGCGUUGGAUUAGCUAGUUGGUGGGGUAAAGGCCUACCAAGGCGACGAUCCAUAGCUGGUCUGAGAGGAUGAUCAGCCACACUGGGACUGAGACACGGCCCAGACUCCUACGGGAGGCAGCAGUGGGGAAUAUUGGACAAUGGGCGAAAGCCUGAUCCAGCAAUGCCGCGUGAGUGAUGAAGGCCUUAGGGUUGUAAAGCUCUUUACCCGUAGAUGAUAAUGACAGUAUCGGGAGAAUAAGCUCCGGCUAACUCCGUG